GGGGAUAUAGCUCAGUUGUUAGAGUGCUUACCUCACAUGCACAAGGCCCUGGGUCUAAGCCCCAACAUCCCCA
RNAcentral lists this transfer RNA (73 nucleotides) under Ictidomys tridecemlineatus (thirteen-lined ground squirrel). RNAcentral's name for it is "Spermophilus tridecemlineatus (thirteen-lined ground squirrel) tRNA". It matches the Rfam family "tRNA". Rfam says of the family: Transfer RNA (tRNA) molecules are approximately 80 nucleotides in length. The record is from Rfam by way of RNAcentral. Lineage: Eukaryota; Metazoa; Chordata; Mammalia; Rodentia; Sciuridae.